This 497-nucleotide ribosomal RNA is filed under the name uncultured bacterium. RNAcentral's name for it is "partial 16S ribosomal RNA". It matches the Rfam family "Bacterial small subunit ribosomal RNA", at positions 28 to 507 of the family's 1533-position model. The record is from RNAcentral.
GACGAACGCUGGCGGCGUGCCUAAUACAUGCAAGUAGAACGCUGAAGAGAGGAGCUUGCUCUUCUUGGAUGAGUUGCGAACGGGUGAGUAACGCGUAGGUAACCUGCCUGGUAGCGGGGGAUAACUAUUGGAAACGAUAGCUAAUACCGCAUAAAAUGGAUUAUCGCAUGAUAAUCCAUUGAAAGGUGCAAAUGCAUCACUACCAGAUGGACCUGCGUUUUAUUAGCUAGUUGGUGGGGUAACGGCUCACCAAGGCGACGAUACAUAGCCGACCUGAGAGGGUGAUCGGCCACACUGGGACUGAGACACGGCCCAGACUCCUACGGGAGGCAGCAGUAGGGAAUCUUCGGCAAUGGACGGAAGUCUGACCGAGCAACGCCGCGUGAGUGAAGAAGGUUUUCGGAUCGUAAAGCUCUGUUGUAAGAGAAGAACGAGUGUGAGAGUGGAAAGUUCACACUGUGACGGUAUCUUACCAGAAAGGGACGGCUAACUACGUG